Molecule: unclassified non-coding RNA, 310 nt
Filed under: fungal sp.
Lineage: Eukaryota; Fungi
Description: partial internal transcribed spacer region
Rfam family: Eukaryotic small subunit ribosomal RNA (bases 1-46)
Source: RNAcentral
AAGUCGUAACAAGGUUUCCGUAGGUGAACCUGCGGAAGGAUCAUCAAUGUAUCCAAAUUACAUGCCCCAUGUGCACUGUACAUACAAGGCACCUGGCGGGCCGCGUCGAGGCCAAGGAGCAAUCCUUGCCUCCGCAGCUGUCCCGGUGUGCAAUUGCGCGUGCGGGUCUGUGGACCUGCGCGUGUGCUUGUUGCGUCGGGAGAGAGGGUGCUCGCCACUUGCCUUGUACAAUACACCUGGCUUAUGCUAAUUGACUGAUAAUUACUUUAUAAAAUUAAAACAACUUUCAACAAUGGAUCUCUUGGUUCUC